CACCGCCCGUCACACUAUGGGAGCUGGCCAUGCCCGAAGCCGUUACCUUAACCGCAAGGAGGGGGAUGCCGAAGGCAGGGCUAGUGACUGGAGUGAAGUCGUAACAAGGUAACCGUACUGGAAGGUGCGGCUA
Nicotiana attenuata is the source of this 133-nucleotide ribosomal RNA. It matches the Rfam family "Bacterial small subunit ribosomal RNA", at positions 1388 to 1520 of the family's 1533-position model. The record is from Rfam. Lineage: Eukaryota; Viridiplantae; Streptophyta; Magnoliopsida; Solanales; Solanaceae.